GUCAAAUUAAGUACGUAAAUAUGUAUGUCUUUAAUUGACAUUGAGAUAAUUAUGUACAUGUCAACUACAAGACAUUAACUUUUCCAUGCAGAUUGGGAUUGGACUAAUGAGAAGGAUUGAUUUAAGAGACAUCAAAAAUGUCGCACUGUCACGGGGUGCAUUUUUAGGACGAUAUUCUGGUACUGAUUUACUUAAUAGGAUAGAAUUGCCAUUAAAUGUAUUUCAUAAGUUUUCAUGAACCCUUUAUACUUAAGUACUUUUGUGUACAAAAUCAGUUUUGCAAAUUUUAAUAUAAAUGUUUUUCCGACUUGUUGUCACAUAAUAAUAACUAAAGUUUUCGUUCAUUUGGACAUACAUAUGUAUGCAAAUAUACCUCUUUUAGACAUAAAUACACAUAAAAUUUAGCUUAUUAUCACAUGACUGGCACAAUUUGUUAGAAAAUUACAAUACGGACUUGGGAGGAACUUGAACUUGAGUACAUAUUAAAAUUUUCAGUGUAAUUUGACAGGUGUUACAAAUACUUUACUUUAAAUAGACUCAAUAUGUACAAUUAUGAAAUUGAACACAUAACUUUAUUACGUAUCCAUUAUUAUGUAUUAACUUAAUUUAUGCUGUCAUUCUAAAGUCAUGGCUCGUAUUAUCUGUAUUGUUGAUUUUUUUGAUAGUAAAUGAUCUGUCACAAUAAUGUAAGUAUUUAAUUUAAGUAGUAAUAUUCUUUGAAAUUUGCGUCGAAACUUGUCAUAAUUCCGAGAAUUUAAGUAUGCAUGUGACUUACACAUACGCAUAUCCCUCUUAACAUCUCGACUAUGACUCAUAAUCGACUUUUCCUUUUUUUCAUAACUCUCUUUUUGAAACCAUCUGCUACUAAAUAUUAAUAUUUUUUAUAAUAGCCGACAUUAUAUGUCCAGGUGAAUUUUUAUCUGGUCACAUGAGUUUUUUCGGAUAUAAAAUCAGACGAAUUCUCCCCAGUUCAGUAUCAAUCAGUUCCUUUCCGCUUAAUAAACUUGUCUACAUACAAGAAAUCAUUACAAUCUUGAAGAAAUAUGAAGAACAUCAACGCUCUCGUCGUCCUGGUCGUCCUUCUCGUCGGGAUGGUUGCGGUGGAGGCAGCUCCCCAGCGGUUCGAUUGGGCGUGCACGUGGCGGUGCUCGUUGUACAAUGUGUGCAUGGCGAGGGGUGCGUCUAACGGAAAUACCAACAAUUGUGGAUCCUCGCCAGCCGGGUGCGUGUGUGAUAAGCCGUACUGGCUUUAAGCAUGAAGCCAACAAGGGAGUCUUCAGAUAAGUCUCAAAAAUUGGAAGAGUUUUAACUACAAUUCGGGAUUAAAUGACAUUUUAAAAAUCUCCUAUUCUGUAAAAAUUAAUAAUAAAAAACAUUUAGACUUGCAUGGAGGAUUUUGUUAAAGUUUUGAGACUAUUCUCACCCUAGUGAAGUAAUUUGUAAAAAUAUUGAAGAAAUUCACGCAGGUAACUUUGUAAAGCGAUAAACUUACAAAAUUUUACAAAUAUUUCCAAAGAAAAUCAACUUAUCUGUUUAAGUUUUUGUAAACUUGCACAGAUAAAGAGCGUCUUUUUAUUUGGUAAAAGUUUGUAAAAUUAUUUUAUGAAAUUUACAAAGUAACCAAUGACCUCACCAACUAAAUAAUUCACAUGUGAAGGCUAUGCAUGAAGAAUGUUAUUAGUCCAUUCCUGGAUAAGCUUAGCUCAGGCUUACAUACCUAGAUUAAGUUUAAAAUAUGAGAAAGUAUUGGGACAUUGUUGGCCAUUAUUUACUUUAUGCGGUGACAUCGUUAAUGCACUUAUGACCUUUGUAGUAAAGAUAUUUUAGACAUUUACAUGCACAGUGGCCAUACUCACAAUUACUUUUUCCUACCUUGCAAAUUGAUCAUAUCAAAAUAGCAUAAGUUUUGCAAAACCUUUUACUAGAAAACAAUGGGUCUUUUAAGGUAAAUUGACGAUUUAUUUAAGAAAUUCGUAUUUGUUAAAUAAGUUUAUAUGCGACAGAACUUAUGCAUGUAUGCAGAAAUGUAUGUAAGAAGUAUAUGCAUGUGACUAUGUACACCUAAUAAUGUAUCGUAUGUACAUAGUUUAUGACCAUUUGUUUCUUAAAAAUGUGAAGUAUCCUGUCCUGAGCUUGAUCGCCAUUGUGUCGAAAUUUGUGUACAUUUAAUUUUUGCAACCUUUCGCAAAUUUUCGGAUGUGACGAUACCAUAAAAUAACAGGAUAUUAUUGACUUCAUUCAUUCAUUCAAAUGGCAUAAUUUCGUUUCCUUAAUCACAGUAUUUAUUUAUUUAUCAUCCGGCUGUGCAUGUAAGGCCAGCUAAAAAAUACUUAAUAACCCGUCCUACAGGAUUUAUCGUCAUUUACAUUUCAAAUCUUUGCUAAUUCGCAACUUAAAGUCGUUCAGCUAAAAGUAUAAGAAAAUCGGAACCAUGAAACUCAUCAUUAUUGGACUCUGUUACAUCGCCAUAUUUUCUUGUGUAUUAAAUGACCACGUGGUCCAAGCCGUAAGUUAAUAUCACUUUUAAAGCAUAUUUAUAGAAAAUUUCCAACUAUCAGAUUUCAAUGUUUUAAUUCACAGAAUCCACUUCCGGUUCCAAAUUCAAUCGUUACUUUACACGCCGACUGCGCUGCUAAUUGGCACCAAGAUGCUAUGGGGCUGGGAAGUGACCAAACAUGCAUUACGGAUAAAGACGGGUCUGGUGAUACAGUCAAGGGCACACCCACCGAUGACUCAGACAAGAAGGGAGCACGGAAAGUUGGGCUACCAUUAUCUGUCGUUUCAUAAUUAAAAGUAUAAUAUGCAGAAUUAGUUUUUGCAGAAAAUAAUUAUGUGAAGCAAUAUCGUACAAAUAUUAUGGGUAUAAAUAUAUUCGCAAGAAAUUUGCUAAAAUAAAGAUAACGUAUGUCAGUAA
Molecule: long non-coding RNA, 2914 nt
Organism: Folsomia candida
Lineage: Eukaryota; Metazoa; Arthropoda; Collembola; Entomobryomorpha; Isotomidae
Exons: 3
Source: RefSeq, a predicted model, not a curated record